UACGAAGGGGGCUAGCGUUGCUCGGAAUCACUGGGCGUAAAGCGCACGUAGGCGGACUCUUAAGUCGGUGGUGAAAUCCUGGAGCUCAACUCCAGAACUGCCUUCGAUACUGAGAGUCUCGAGUCCGGGAGAGGUGAGUGGAACUGCGAGUGUAGAGGUGAAAUUCGUAGAUAUUCGCAAGAACACCAGUGGCGAAGGCGGCUCACUGGCCCGGUACUGACGCUGAUGCGCGAAAGCGUGGGUAGCAAACAGG
Molecule: ribosomal RNA, 253 nt
Filed under: uncultured bacterium
Lineage: Bacteria
Description: partial 16S ribosomal RNA
Rfam family: Bacterial small subunit ribosomal RNA
Source: RNAcentral